AAGUCGUAACAAGGUUUCCGUAGGUGAACCUGCGGAAGGAUCAUUAUUGAAUUAUGUUUUCUAGAUGGGUUGUAGCUGGCUCUUAGGAGCAUGUGCACGCCUGUCUGGACUUCAUUUUCAUCCACCUGUGCACCUUUUGUAGUCUUUGUUGGGUAUGGAGGAAGUGGUCAGCCUUAUCAGCUCUCGCUGGAUAUGAGGACUUGCAGUGUGAAAGCAGUGCUGUCCGCUACUUGGCCAUGGAAUCUGUUUCCCGUCAGAGUCUAUGUUGUUCAUUAUACCCUAUAAACUGUUAUUGAAUGUUUUUACAUGGGCUUCUAUGCCUAUGAAAAUUGUAAUACAACUUUCAGCAACGGAUCUCUUGGCUCUC
RNAcentral lists this unclassified non-coding RNA (367 nucleotides) under air metagenome. RNAcentral describes it as "partial contains small subunit ribosomal RNA, internal transcribed spacer 1, and 5.8S ribosomal RNA". The stretch from base 1 to 46 matches the Rfam family "Eukaryotic small subunit ribosomal RNA", at positions 1786 to 1831 of the family's 1831-position model. The record is from RNAcentral.